GAACGCGAAGAACCUUACCAGGUCUUGACAUCCCUCUGACCGCUCUAGAGAUAGAGUUUUCCUUCGGGACAGAGGUGACAGGUGGUGCAUGGUUGUCGUCAGCUCGUGUCGUGAGAUGUUGGGUUAAGUCCCGCAACGAGCGCAACCCCUAUUGUUAGUUGCCAUCAUUCAGUUGGGCACUCUAGCGAGACUGCCGGUAAUAAACCGGAGGAAGGUGGGGAUGACGUCAAAUCAUCAUGCCCCUUAUGACCUGGCUACACACGUGCUACAAUGGCUGGUACAACGAGUCGCAAGCCGGUGACGGCAAGCUAAUCUCUUAAAGCCAGUCUCACUUCGGAUUGUACGCUGCAACUCGCCUACAUGAAGUCGGAAUCGCUAGUAAUCGCGGAUCAGCACGCCGCGGUGAAUACGUUCCCGGGUCUUGUACACACC
This 432-nucleotide ribosomal RNA is filed under the name uncultured bacterium. RNAcentral's name for it is "bacterial SSU rRNA". It matches the Rfam family "Bacterial small subunit ribosomal RNA", at positions 957 to 1391 of the family's 1533-position model. The record is from RNAcentral.